Molecule: ribosomal RNA, 497 nt
Filed under: uncultured bacterium
Lineage: Bacteria
Description: partial 16S ribosomal RNA
Rfam family: Bacterial small subunit ribosomal RNA
Source: RNAcentral
GACGAACGCUGGCGGCGUGCCUAAUACAUGCAAGUUGAGCGAUGAAGAUUGGUGCUUGCACCAAUUUGAAGAGCAGCGAACGGGCGAGUAACGCGUGGGGAAUCUUCCUUUGAGCGGGGGACAACAUUUGGAAACGAAUGCUAAUACCGCAUAACAACUUUAAACAUAAGUUUUAAGUUUGAAAGAUGCAAUUGCAUCACUCAAAGAUGAUCCCGCGUUGUAUUAGCUAGUUGGUGAGGUAAAGGCUCACCAAGGCGAUGAUACAUAGCCGACCUGAGAGGGUGAUCGGCCACAUUGGGACUGAGACACGGCCCAAACUCCUACGGGAGGCAGCAGUAGGGAAUCUUCGGCAAUGGACGAAAGUCUGACCGAGCAACGCCGCGUGAGUGAAGAAGGUUUUCGGAUCGUAAAACUCUGUUGGUAGAGAAGAACGUUUGUGAGAGUGGAAAGCUCAUCAAGUGACGGUAACUACCCAGAAAGGGACGGCUAACUACGUG